GAGUGGGGAGAGGGAUUCCUAAGAACAUCUUGCUUCCAGGUGCCCCUGUGAGUAACCUGUCCUGUCCAUUGCCCCUCCGCCUGUACCCAGAUAAAUCUGGUCCUAUCAGAUGGCUACAGAUAUCCUGCUUUUACAAAUGAGAAAACUGAAGCUCAGGAAAGGGAAAUGACUUGCCUCCGUGUGUGUAACUGGUCGGACCUGGACUGUCUGGUUUCCAGACCCAAUUCAGAAAACACCACGCUUCAACAAAGUCUAAAGCUCGUAAUGAAGAAGCCAUAGAUCUGGGAUCUGAGAAGGAUGAACCCACGACCUUCAGGGAAGUGGCCAGGAAGCCGCGAGUUUAAGGGAACCAAACAGAUCCUGUGGUCUGAGCCACUUGCCUGUACUUAUCUCAAUCGGAAGGAACAGUGUGAAGGUAAGAACAUGAAACAAGGGAGACACUUAUAUGGAGAUAUCAAAAAAUGAUCAGGUGAAGGACAAACAGAUGGUGUUAUUCAUACAAAGAAGGAUGUUGAAGUUUGGAGCAGGUGUGGGCCAGUGAAGAAGGAAACUGAGUUCUUUUUUUUUUGGUCAGGGACAGACUAUUGCAUCAUGUCCCCAGGCCGGGAUGAACUUGGUCGUUUCUUCUGAUUGCUGCCUCCCAUCCAGACUCAGCCACUCCUUGAAUGACACGCAGCUGCACUCCCUCCCCUGUGUUUCAGGAAAGCAUCUGGAAAUAAACAGCACUUAGCCCUGCGGCAGAGACAAAGGCAUUGUUUCUUUAAUAACACAUCUCUUUGAAAACCGUCCCCAGACCUACUUCAGAAGCCAGGCUGUACUGACCCUGACCUGAUGUAGUUUGUUCAGUUCUGCUGGGCAGAGGACUAUGAAGGAGCUAUGACGGGCAUGUAUAGAGAAUGGAAAAUGUGAUUUAGUCAUGACUUUGGUGAGAGAAAGGCACUCAUUUAAGAAUGCAGAUGGUAGGACCCUCCAUUUAAAUUGUGUGUGUGUGUGUGUGUGUGCAUGCACACAGGUCAUGGGACUGUAGCAGAAUUGACUGCUAUCAACUGUGUAUGUGUGUCUACAAGCAUGCUGUCUGGAAACCCAGCAGAGGUGAAGCUCCACCCCAACCAGUGUAAUGAUGAAAGCAUAUUCUGGGUUGCCACCUGCUGGUAUUUAUAUCACACAGGUGGCAGUGGUGAGAGGAGGGGCUUCUGUUUAUUUAACACAGAAUAUAUGCUUGACACACCGUUAUCUCUCACUUCCUGUAUAUGCAUCAGUUAGUUGCUGUAUAAGCAAAAGUUACAAAAACUGUUGUGAAACAGUCAACCACAAAGCCUUAGAGAUAUACAGAAUAAACACUAGUUUUUAUUCAUGAGUCUAGAGUCAGUAGGUCGGUUCUCCUGUUCUGAACUAGACUUGAUGAGCUCACAUGGUGUAUGGUCAGCAUUGUAUUGGCUAAGUAACUCUCCGUAUCUUAAGAGGACUUCCUCACAUGCCUGAAGCCUUGGCUUGGACUACUGGGCUGACUCAAAUUUCUUCCCUGCCUCCUUCUCCAGGAGACCAUCCCAGGCACGUUCUUCUGAGAAAGGCCAAGAAGUAUGAGAGGAAGCUUAAACACAUUUUGAUGUCUCUGCAUAUGUUACAUUUGUUACCACUUUAUUGACCAAAGAAAAUCACAAAGUCAAGUCACAAGUCAAGACUUGGAAAAAAAAAAAGUCACAGGGUGAGAAGGGACAGCAAAGACUGAGAUACAAGGACAGCGCUAAUUUGGUCCAUUGAUGCAGAUGAUGUACCACAGCAUACUUUUCCACUGAAUCUUCAUGAGAAUUCUAUGACCAUUUUACAAAUGAAGGUUCCUAGGAGUCAUUUAAUGUCACAUCUUAUUUAAUACCACAUAGCUAUGAAGUUAGGAAGCCAGGACUUGAAGUCAAGAUAACUCUUGUCAGUCUGUUUGUUUGUGUAAGUUUGUCUGUUUCCAUUACAUGAUGAGAACCGGAUGCCAACAGAACAAGGGCAGAGAUUCAUGAAAGUGAGGGAUGCCAUGGCAGUCCAAUGACCUAUAAACCAAGCAAUGGCCAGAUCAGCGCCCAUAUCAGGAAGUUGAGUCAGCUGUGGGUAUAAGAAGGAUGUGAGUUUAAAUCAGACAGUCAGCAAGGAGCUAUGUAGAGUAUUGGUGUCAAGCAAGGAACAUCAAGGUUUCUGGAAGAAGAGUUUGUAGUCUAGGCAGAUACAGGAAAUGCAGCCAAGCAGUUGGAGAUCGAGAAUGGGUUUCAAGUCAUGGAGAUAAUUAAGCUCUGAGCAGGGAAACCCAGUUUACAGCUAGUCAUUGAUCUCCUCUUGCCUUUUGUAGGGAGUCCAACAUCCUUUACAUGGCCUCUCAUAGGUUCCGUGGGUUGAUAUCAUUUUGGACCAUUCUUCCUCUCCCAGCUUAAUGUCAAAGGUACAAUGUACUUUCUUGGAGUUCCUUGGUGGCUCAGUGGGUUAAGGAUCUAACCUUAUCACUACUGUGGCUCAGGUGGCUGCUGUGGCAUGGGUUCAAUCCCUGGCCCAGGAAAUUCUGCAUGCUGUGGGCGUGGCCAAAACAAAUCAAAUUUACAAUGUACUUUCUCAUUUUUUGGCAUUUACACAUAUCUUUUACUUAGGACACUUUUUCUUAACUUCUCAUACUUUCUCUCUUUGGCUAAUUCUUAUGCAUCCUUUAGUUUUUGGUUAUUUCCGGUUAGUUACAUGUUGUACCUUCACUCUAAGACACUUCCAGAGCACCCUGUACUUCUUCUUCAUAUUUGUACGUAUGUUUCAUUCCCUGUCUUUCCUCUAGAGCAAAGGGUGGCACACCUGUUUGGUAAAGAGCCAGGUAAUGUGUAUUUUAUAGUCUCUGAUGUCACUAUUCCACCAUCCUGUUAUAGUGUGAAAGUAGCCUUAACAAUAUGCAAAUGAAUAGGCAUGUCUGAGUUCCUAUAAAACUCUAUUAAAACACCUAGUGAACUGGAUUUGAUCCAUGGGCCAUAGUUUGUUGACUCUUUCUCUGGAGUAUAAAUUCCAUGAACAUUGGAAGUUUGUCCAUGUUGUUUACCACCAAGUCCUGGUAACCAGUUCUGAAAUGGUACACAGUAGAUGUAAAAAAAAAAAAAA
RNAcentral lists this long non-coding RNA (3114 nucleotides) under Sus scrofa (pig). RNAcentral's name for it is "lncRNA (ENSSSCG00035001013.1)". The record is from RNAcentral. Lineage: Eukaryota; Metazoa; Chordata; Mammalia; Artiodactyla; Suidae.